UACGUAGGGACCAAGCGUUGUUCGGAUUUACUGGGCGUAAAGGGCGCGUAGGCGGCCUGACAAGUCACUUGUGAAAUCUCCGGGCUUAACUCGGAACGGCCAAGUGAAACUGUCAAGCUAGAGUGCAGAAGGGGCAAUCGGAAUUCUUGGUGUAGCGGUGAAAUGCGUAGAUAUCAAGAGGAACACCUGAGGUGAAGACGGGUUGCUGGGCUGACACUGACGCUGAGGCGCGAAAGCCAGGGGAGCAAACGGG
Molecule: ribosomal RNA, 253 nt
Filed under: uncultured bacterium
Lineage: Bacteria
Description: partial 16S ribosomal RNA
Rfam family: Bacterial small subunit ribosomal RNA
Source: RNAcentral